CCGAAAUUGAAUGAAAAGACA
Molecule: non-coding RNA, 21 nt
Filed under: Arabidopsis thaliana (thale cress)
Lineage: Eukaryota; Viridiplantae; Streptophyta; Magnoliopsida; Brassicales; Brassicaceae
Source: RNAcentral